CAGUGCAGUCACCCAUAAAGUAGAAAGCACUACUAACAGCACUGGAGGGUGUAGUGUUUCCUACUUUAUGGAUGAGUGUACUGU
Molecule: non-coding RNA, 84 nt
Organism: Mesocricetus auratus (golden hamster)
Lineage: Eukaryota; Metazoa; Chordata; Mammalia; Rodentia; Cricetidae
Source: Rfam